GACGAACGCUGGCGGCGCGCUUAACACAUGCAAGUCGAACGGAAAGGCCUGCUUUCCCUUGUGGAUUGCGGGUACUCGAGUGGCGAACGGGUGAGUAACACGUGAGUGAUCUGCCCCCAACUUGGGUAUAAGCCUGGGAAACUGGGUCUAAUUCCCGAUAGGACUGCAGGGUGGUGCCUGUGGUGGAAAACGAUUUUCUAGUGGUUGGGGAUGAGCUCGCGGCCUAUCAGCUUGUUGGUGGGGUAAUGGCCUACCAAGGCGGCGACGGGUAGCCGGCCUGGGAGGGUGGACGGACACAUUGGGACUGAGAUACGGCCCAGACUCCUACGGGAGGCAGCAGUGGGGAAUAUUGCACAAUGGGCGGAAGCCUGAUGCAGCGACGCCGCGUGGGGGAUGACGGCCUUCGGGUUGUAAACUCCUUUCGACCGCGAGGAAGCCACCUGGUUGGAAGGGUGGUGACGGUAGUGGUAGAAGAAGCACCGGCUAACUACGUG
This 494-nucleotide ribosomal RNA is filed under the name uncultured bacterium. RNAcentral's name for it is "partial 16S ribosomal RNA". It matches the Rfam family "Bacterial small subunit ribosomal RNA", at positions 28 to 507 of the family's 1533-position model. The record is from RNAcentral.